This is a long non-coding RNA of Pyrus x bretschneideri (Chinese white pear), 902 nucleotides long. RefSeq lists it as uncharacterized. NCBI's taxonomy places the organism in Eukaryota, Viridiplantae, Streptophyta, Magnoliopsida, Rosales, Rosaceae. The record is from RefSeq and is a predicted model, not a curated record. The transcript has 4 exons.
CCCCAGAAUGCCCCAAAAUUGCUCUUGGUUGUCCGGGUUUUCCACUUUUUGGCCAGUGAAAUGGCGACAUUGCCCUCGGUGGCCACGCGUCUAUCAUCGCUGAUCCUUCUCCUUCGAUUUCUUCGUUGUUUUUUCCGUUCGCUUCUUUCUCUCCAUCCUCAGCUUCUGCAAAUUGUCGAACGUUUUUUCUCUUCCACGCCGGUGUUGUUCUUGGUGUCCACCCUUUGCAACUUUCUCCGUGUGAUUUUUCACCUUCGUUUUUCUUCCGGAAAACUGCUCGAUUCGUGAACGGUGGAGGGGCUACAGAUUUCUGCCUUUUUCAAUUCGAUUGAAAUCCGUUUUUUGCUUGCGUAGUCUAACGUGUUCGGGUGAUUUUUGCUCAGCGUACGUGAUUUCGUUUUUUAGGUGGUUCGCAAUUGGAUUCCACAGUAAAACCCAGAAACUUAGAGUAAAAACCUUGAAACUUAAAGGCACAAUCUGCAUGUCGUUAGAAACUACUUGAGCAGCCGCGAUCUCAGAUUUUCAGUUUCUACACAAUGAGAUGAUGCGACUGUUCAAAGUGCUUUAUCAUUAAGGAUUGUUUUGUUGCAAAAAGCGAGGCCAAUUUGUUUAGGGCUUGAAGAUUUCUACAUUCACCAGGUUUAUCGUCGACUUCAGGUACUUUGUUCCACACAGUUUGGUUAUGAUUGGGUAAAAUAAGCUGAUUAUCUGCCUAUUUCAUGAGGAUAUCAAUAGGGACUAUCUACCCAAUCUUUUGUGUGUAAAUAGAUGUAAAUACACAUCAAAUAUUAUCUUUUGUAUGUAAAUUUGUAAAACAUGUGAAUAUUAGAACAAUGGCAAUAGAACUGCCAAUCCAUAUCUUUGUAAAUAGAUUUCUGUAUGUAUAUAAAUAAUAUUGCAUA